UGUGGAUGAUCAGCCAUGAUCACAUUGAAUGGUGGUGCUGGCUCGAAGGGCCGAAUAGCAUAAUCCUGCACAUAUUAUCUAUUUACCUGAGCUAGAAGGAA
Amblyraja radiata (thorny skate) is the source of this 101-nucleotide long non-coding RNA. RefSeq lists it as uncharacterized. The transcript is spliced from 3 exons. Lineage: Eukaryota; Metazoa; Chordata; Chondrichthyes; Rajiformes; Rajidae. The record is from RefSeq and is a predicted model, not a curated record.